AGAAUCAACGCUGGCGGCGUGCCUCAGACAUGCAAGUCGAACGCGAAAGUCCCCCUUCGGGGGGGCAAGUAGAGUGGCGCACGGGUGAGUAACACGUAGGUAAUCUACCUUCGGGUGGGGAAUAACAACCGGAAACGGUUGCUAAUACCGCAUAAUGCAGCGGCACCUAAUGGUGACAGUUGUUAAAGCGGGGGAUCGAAAGAUCUCGCGCCUGAAGAGGAGCCUGCGGCGGAUUAGCUAGUUGGUAGGGUAACGGCCUACCGAAGGCGACGAUCCGUA
RNAcentral lists this ribosomal RNA (279 nucleotides) under uncultured soil bacterium. Its description in RNAcentral is "partial 16S ribosomal RNA". It matches the Rfam family "Bacterial small subunit ribosomal RNA", at positions 26 to 285 of the family's 1533-position model. The record is from RNAcentral.